UAUAUCCGACUAGCCCGACACUGUUAAUAGGGUAUUCAAAAUCACAUUCAUUUCAAUAUGGUAAAAAUACUUACCUCAUUCAAAUUUUCAUACAAUAUAAAUAUCAAAUAUAGCAAUAACGAUUAAGCUCGGUUUAUAGAAAUACAAACCACUAUUUAUCGAAUUUAAUCGAUAUCUUCGUUCACCUUCUCUUUUCCCUUCUUUGAUGAUGUAUCCGGUGAUACGUUUGCUACUAACAAUCAUACAAUUAAAAAUCAUCAAUAUACUAAUUCAUAAAACACAUUUUCACUUUCUAUCAAACUUUUACAAAAAUUCCAAUUUCGUCCUUUUUCCAUUACUAAUCUUUUUUCUUUAACUUAAGCUUCAUAUUCUCUUUUAAUCAACUCAUUAACAAUUUCUAACUCAUAAAAUUCAUUAUAAAACAUAAAUUUUGAGCUCUAUUCAACUUAAUCCCUAUUUAAACCUAACUUAGAAUUCUUUUAAUAAAUCACUCAAUUUUCACUUCUAACUUUAAUUUCUAUCAAUUUAACCCUUAAAACCUCAAUUUAUUCAACUAAAUCAAUAUCUAAAAAUUUUCUAUUUUUCUUCAUUUUAACCUCAUACAUGUAGAACUUUGAAUUAGGCAUCCAUAAACAUAAAAAUUAUAAGAAAAUAAGCUAAAACAUCUUACCAAUCAAGCUUUAGGGCCUUAGUCCUCAAAUUUCCCUUUUCUAUUUCUUUCUUUCUUUCUUUCUUUCUUUCUCACGUUUGC
RNAcentral lists this long non-coding RNA (751 nucleotides) under Gossypium barbadense (sea-island cotton). RNAcentral describes it as "long non-coding RNA (GBAR_LNC007552)". The record is from RNAcentral. Lineage: Eukaryota; Viridiplantae; Streptophyta; Magnoliopsida; Malvales; Malvaceae.